AUUUGCAUGAAAAUCACAGAACCUGAAGUGGUGGGUGAGAUUCAAAUGCCUUGGAGCUAAGAGCUUGGAUUCAGUACUUAAUAAUAACUUGCUGUGACAAUCUCAGAAAGAAUCCAAAUGUCAGAGCCAAAUUAACCAGCAAAAAAGACAGAUGGAAGUUUUUCGUCCUCGCUUAGCUCAUAGUCUUGAAACACAGCCCUCUGGUUU
This 207-nucleotide long non-coding RNA is filed under the name Homo sapiens (human). Its description in RNAcentral is "HSALNT0195656". Lineage: Eukaryota; Metazoa; Chordata; Mammalia; Primates; Hominidae. The record is from RNAcentral.